CGGGGGGAGCAAGCGUUGUUCGGAUUUACUGGGCGUAAAGGGCGCGUAGGCGGCCUCUGCAAGUCGACUGUGAAAUCUCCGGGCUUAACCCGGAAAGGUCAGCCGAUACUGCAGGGCUAGAGUGCAGAAGGGGCAACUGGAAUUCUCGGUGUAGCGGUGAAAUGCGUAGAUAUCGAGAGGAACACCUGCGGCGAAGGCGGGUUGCUGGGCUGACACUGACGCUGAGGUGCGAAAGCUAGGGGAGCGAACGGGAUUAGAUACCCCGGUAGUCCUAGCCUUAAACGAUGAAUGCUUGGUGUCUGGGGUUUUAUAGUCCCCGGGUGCCGUCGCUAACGCUUUAAGCAUUCCGCCUGGGGAGUACGGUCGCAAGACUG
This 374-nucleotide ribosomal RNA is filed under the name uncultured organism. RNAcentral's name for it is "bacterial SSU rRNA". It matches the Rfam family "Bacterial small subunit ribosomal RNA", at positions 526 to 896 of the family's 1533-position model. The record is from RNAcentral.